AAUCUAGUAACAAUUGGAGGACAAGUCUGGUGCCAGCACCCGCGGUAAUUCCAGCUCCAAAAGCGUAUAUUAAUGCUGUUGCUGUUAAAGGGUUCGUAGUUGAACUGUGGGCUGUGUAGGUUUGUUCCUGGUCGUCCCGUCCAUGUCGGAUUUUGGUGGCCCAGGCCCUUGCAGCCCGUGAACAUUCAAAGAAACAAGAAACACGGGAGUGGUUCCUUUCCUGACUCACGCAUGUCAUGCAUGCUGCAGGGGGCGUCCGUGAUUUUUACUGUGACUAAAGAAGUGUGACUAAAGCAGUCAUUUGACUUGAAUUAGCAAGCAUGGGAUAACAAAGGAGCAGCCUUUAGGCUACCGUUUCGGCUUUUGUUGGUUUUAAAGGUCUAUUGGAGAUUAUGGAGCUGUGCGACAAGUGCUUUC
Molecule: ribosomal RNA, 417 nt
Filed under: Lotmaria passim
Lineage: Eukaryota; Euglenozoa; Kinetoplastea; Trypanosomatida; Trypanosomatidae
Description: SSU rRNA
Rfam family: Eukaryotic small subunit ribosomal RNA
Source: RNAcentral